Molecule: long non-coding RNA, 306 nt
Organism: Salvia hispanica
Lineage: Eukaryota; Viridiplantae; Streptophyta; Magnoliopsida; Lamiales; Lamiaceae
Source: RefSeq, a predicted model, not a curated record
GGAGAAUAGUAGAGACAGAAAAAUGAUCUACAGAAAAUGGAGUCUGCUUACCGGCCCGACCUCGAUCAUCGCCGGAGUAAUCGGCACCGUUGUUGUCGCCGAUCUCAUUUUCCUUGAUAACGGCUGGUUGCGCAAGGGAGAUGAAAAGAAGCAAGAACCAGCAAAUAAAACCAAGUAGAAGCAGAAAAGAUGCACAUUCUAAUUGCUGUGUUCUUUUGUUUUGUCAAAAAUGCGAUGUUGAAUAAAUAGAUCUUGUUCAUUACAAAAUUCAGUUUUUGUGUGUAAAAUGUAAAUCCUUUGUUUUCA